CCAGCUACCGCGGUCACACGAUUAACCCUAGCUAAUAGAGAUCGGCGUAGAGGGUGUUUAAGAUCUGACACAAUAAAGCUAAACUCCAUCUAAACUGUAAAACCCUAGCUGAUGUAAAAUAAACUACGAAAGUGGCUUUAAAACUUCUGAACACACAAUAGCCAAGACCCAAACUGGGAUUAGACACCCUACUAUGCUUGGCCCUAAACCUCAGUAGUUAAAUAACAAAACUACUCGCCAGAAUACUACAAGCAACAGCUUGAAACUCAAAGGACUUGACGGUGCUUUACACCCCCUAGAGGAGCCUGUUCCCUAAUCGAUAAACCCCGAUCCACCCCACCCUCUAUUGCUCAGCCUAUAUACCGCCAUCUUCAGCAAACCCUGAUGAAGGCCACAAAGUGAGCGCAAACGCCACCACCGCGAAGACGUUAGGUC
Molecule: ribosomal RNA, 435 nt
Filed under: Macaca assamensis (Assam macaque)
Lineage: Eukaryota; Metazoa; Chordata; Mammalia; Primates; Cercopithecidae
Description: partial 12S ribosomal RNA
Rfam family: Bacterial small subunit ribosomal RNA
Source: RNAcentral